Molecule: non-coding RNA, 175 nt
Filed under: uncultured Bifidobacterium sp.
Lineage: Bacteria; Bacillati; Actinomycetota; Actinomycetes; Bifidobacteriales; Bifidobacteriaceae
Description: Lysine riboswitch
Rfam family: Lysine riboswitch aptamer
About the family: Riboswitches are metabolite binding domains within certain messenger RNAs that serve as precision sensors for their corresponding targets. Allosteric rearrangement of mRNA structure is mediated by ligand binding, and this results in modulation of gene expression.
Source: RNAcentral
CAGAGGUCGCGCUCGACAAGAGUAGUAAGCAUGAGCUAGGGAAAGCGUUAAUUGCUUACAAAAGGGGAGAGCGCCGAAGUUUACUGCUUAAUAAUCCCAAAAGUAGUGAGCUGGGACUUGGCUUAAUAUACCAAGGACUGUCGCAGCGAGUCGGCAUUCGCUGCGGAGAGCUAUC